This 253-nucleotide ribosomal RNA is filed under the name uncultured bacterium. Its description in RNAcentral is "partial 16S ribosomal RNA". It matches the Rfam family "Bacterial small subunit ribosomal RNA", at positions 524 to 776 of the family's 1533-position model. The record is from RNAcentral.
UACGUAGGGUGCAAGCGUUAAUCGGAAUUACUGAGCGUAAAGCGUGCGCAGGCGGCUUUGCAAGACAGAUGUGAAAUCCCCGGGCUUAACCUGGGAACUGCAUUUGUGACUGCAUGGCUGGAGUGCGGCAGAGGGGGAUGGAAUUCCGCGUGUAGCAGUGAAAUGCGUAGAUAUCUGGAGGAACACCGGUGGCGAAGGCGGCAUUCUGGACCGAAACUGACGCUGAGGCGCGAAAGCCAGGGGAGCAAACGGG